Molecule: ribosomal RNA, 345 nt
Filed under: uncultured marine eukaryote
Lineage: Eukaryota
Description: bacterial SSU rRNA
Rfam family: Eukaryotic small subunit ribosomal RNA
Source: RNAcentral
GUUAAAAGCUCGUAGUUGGAUUUCUGGUCUGGGCAUCCGGUCCGCCGCUGUGCGUGUGUACUUGGUUCGACCCGGCCUUCCUUGUGGGGAAUGUAUCUGGGCUUAAUUGGUCGAUAUUGGAACCACAUCGUUUACUGUGAAAAAAUUAGAGUGUUUAAAGCAGGCAUUUGCUGUGAAUACAUUAGCAUGGAAUAAUAAGAUAGGACUUUGGUUCUAUUUUGUUGGUUGGAGGCCAAGGUAAUGAUUAAUAGGGAUAGUUGGGGGUAUUCAUAUUUAAUUGUCAGAGGUGAAAUUCUUGGAUUUAUGAAAGAUGAACUUAUGCGAAAGCAUUUACCAAGGAUGUUU